Molecule: ribosomal RNA, 253 nt
Filed under: uncultured bacterium
Lineage: Bacteria
Description: partial 16S ribosomal RNA
Rfam family: Bacterial small subunit ribosomal RNA
Source: RNAcentral
UACGUAGGGGGCAAGCGUUGUCCGGAAUCAUUGGGCGUAAAGAGCGCGUAGGCGGUCCGGUAAGUCGGUUGUGAAAUCCUUCGGCUCAACCGAAGAACGUCGAUCGAAACUGCCGUUCUUGAGGAUUGCAGAGGAGACUGGAAUUCCCGGUGUAGCGGUGAAAUGUGUAGAGAUCGGGAGGAACACCGGUGGCGAAGGCGGGUCUCUGGGCAAUUCCUGACGCUGAGGCGCGAAAGCGUGGGGAGCAAACGGG